GUGUGCAAAGUGUUGUCGGUCGCACACCUCCCUUCCAAGGAGGAGGCGAGGGUUCGAAUCCCUCUGUGCACU
This 72-nucleotide transfer RNA is filed under the name Myxococcales bacterium. Its description in RNAcentral is "tRNA-Gly". It matches the Rfam family "tRNA". From Rfam's summary of the family: Transfer RNA (tRNA) molecules are approximately 80 nucleotides in length. The record is from RNAcentral. Lineage: Bacteria; Pseudomonadati; Myxococcota; Myxococcia; Myxococcales.